AUUGAACGCUGGCGGAAUGCUUUACACAUGCAAGUCGAACGGCAGCACGGACUUCGGUCUGGUGGCGAGUGGCGAACGGGUGAGUAAUGUAUCGGAACGUGCCCAGUCGUGGGGGAUAACGUAGUGAAAAUUACGCUAAUACCGCAUACGAUCUAUGGAUGAAAGCGGGGGAUCGCAAGACCUCGCGCGAUUGGAGCGGCCGAUAACAGAUUAGGUAGUUGGUGGGGUAAAGGCCCACCAAGCCAACGAUCUGUAGCUGGUCUGAGAGGACGACCAGCCAGACUGGAACUGAGACACGGUCCAGACUCCUACGGGAGGCAGCAGUGGGGAAUUUUGGACAAUGGGCGAAAGCCUGAUCCAGCCAUUCCGCGUGCAGGAUGAAGGCCCUCGGGUUGUAAACUGCUUUUGUACAGAACGAAAAGGUUUCUACUAAUACUAGGAGCUCAUGACGGUACUGUAAGAAUAAGCACCGGCUAACUACGUGCCAGCCGCCGCAGUAA
Molecule: ribosomal RNA, 500 nt
Filed under: uncultured bacterium
Lineage: Bacteria
Description: partial 16S ribosomal RNA
Rfam family: Bacterial small subunit ribosomal RNA
Source: RNAcentral